This 796-nucleotide ribosomal RNA is filed under the name Planctomycetes bacterium SCGC AAA170-N13. RNAcentral's name for it is "bacterial SSU rRNA". It matches the Rfam family "Bacterial small subunit ribosomal RNA", at positions 70 to 873 of the family's 1533-position model. The record is from RNAcentral. Lineage: Bacteria; Pseudomonadati; Planctomycetota.
GUUGGUUAGCUUGCUAACCGGCGGACAGCGGCGGAAGGGAGAGUAACGCGUGGUUAUGUGCCCUGAAGACCGGGAUAGUGUUGGGAAACUGGCAGUAAUACCGGAUAAUAUCUUUGGAUCAAAGGUGUGAUUCCGCUUCAGGAUCGGACCGCGUACUAUUAGCUUGUUGGUGGGGUAAUGGCCCACCAAGGCUCAGAUGGUUACCGGGUGUGAGAGCAUGACCCGGCUCACUGGGACUGAGACACUGCCCAGACAUCUACGGAUGGCUGCAGUCGAGAAUCUUCGGCAAUGGACGAAAGUCUGACCGAGCGACGCCGCGUGCGGGAUGAAGGCCCUCGGGUUGUAAACCGCUGUCAGUUAGGAGGAAAUCUAUGAGGGCACUCUCUCAUAGUUGACCGAUUUUCAGAGGAAGGACGGGCUAAGUUCGUGCCAGCAGCCGCGGUAAGACGAACCGUCCAAACGUUAUUCGGUAUCACUGGGCUUAAAGCGUGCGUAGGCGGCUUGAUAGGUGAGAUGUGAAAGCCCACGGCCCAACCGUGGAAUUGCGUUUCAAACCCUCAAGCUCGAGGAAGAUAGGGGUGAUGGGAACUUAUGGUGGAGCGGUGAAAUGCGUUGAUAUCAUAGGGAACACCGGUGGCGAAAGCGCAUCACUGGAUCUUUUCUGACGCUGAGGCACGAAAGCUAGGGUAGCGAACGGGAUUAGAUACCCCGGUAGUCCUAGCCGUAAACGAUGAGCACUGGGUUGAGGGAACUAUCACAUUCUCUCGGCCGUAGCGAAAGCGUUAAGUGCUCCGCC